Long non-coding RNA from Helianthus annuus (common sunflower), 455 nucleotides. RefSeq lists it as uncharacterized. The transcript is spliced from 3 exons. The record is from RefSeq and is a predicted model, not a curated record. Lineage: Eukaryota; Viridiplantae; Streptophyta; Magnoliopsida; Asterales; Asteraceae.
GUUUUUCACUCGUGCCAAUCAUUUCCUUAUUUACGGAUUGAUUGGCAAUCACCCGGUCAUGAUACGAUUCGGUUUCCGAAAUUACGAGACCUCCGGGGUACUAUAUAAACCACACCUUGCCCAUUGUUCAACACACCUCACACCACCACAGCCGUUCGAACCUCAGAAACACUUGCCGGAAGCCGGAGAUUUCAAACCGAUAACUCGACACCUUCUUCUGUUUCGAUAAACAACCCACCGUCCCUACUCGCCGAAACCGCUCUUGUCAUCCUCGCCGGAGAAGGAGACCGGAGAACUCCGGAGUCGCCGGUGACAAGCCAACCGUCGGAGCCCUUGGAACUCGCCGGAGAAGACGACUCGUCCGGGUAAAUCUCUUGUGCAACGACACUUGGAACGAUCCUCAUAUUCUCUUUACAAGAAUCGCAACGCAAUCACUGUUGAUUGAUCAAGAUACA